Long non-coding RNA from Planococcus citri (citrus mealybug), 3997 nucleotides. RefSeq lists it as uncharacterized. Lineage: Eukaryota; Metazoa; Arthropoda; Insecta; Hemiptera; Pseudococcidae. The transcript is spliced from 7 exons. The record is from RefSeq and is a predicted model, not a curated record.
GUUUGCGAAUUGCGAUUGAUAUGCAUUUUUUGGGCCCCCAAUUUAAUAAAGUUUCACAAAAAUCACGCUCAUAAGGAACCUAUCAUCAUUCAUCCUAUAAUACAACUGCGCAAAAAAAGUACCUAUGUAAAUGUUUAUUCGGAGUGAUCAGUGAGGGGAGUUUCCAUUACGUAGGUACCUACAUGUAAAUUUUUUUUGGCCCCAACCAUUUCAAGAAUUAUGAGUUUUUUGGGCUCCAUCUCCACCCUCUCUACUUUAUUGUGCACCUGUGAAUAUCAAAAUAUAACAAGUACCUAUACUUGAAAGUGCUUAGUACAGUACAUCUCUUCUGGCAUUUUGUUCGAUCAAGUAAAGCAACAGAAUUAUUUUCAAGUAUUUUCGUGAUUUCUACUAUGCAUAAACCUGAAAACUGGAGACGUAUCGUCGUCUGGUUAUUUCCAAUUCGGCCGUUAAGCGAUAAGGAAAAGGAAUUCGUAGAACGUACCUAAUAAUGCAUUGUGUUGGUUGUUGGGGUUGGGAUAACCAAAGCGAUAAGACGAGCCGGUUCGUUCUGUUCUUGAUUUUUCGUGCUGCAGUUUCUAAUUUUUUCGCUCGGUUUAUUCUUGCUCUUCGCUUUGAAUUAUUUGAAGCGAAAUAUGGCUCAUUCGUUGAAAAUCCGUCGUACUUUCGUGUCUUUUUUUUUCUCUCGAAAAUGACGAUAUUUUGAACCGAGAAUCGCAUCAUUCGUCGAGUUGUUGUCUGUGUACUUGGAAAUUUCUCCAUCGGUUUCGACUUCGAGUUCGAAAUUCGUCGUAUAGCUUUUAUUAGUUUUUUUUCGCUCGGAUCAAUUACCAUAUUCGUCGUUAUAAAGUAUCUCGUGUAAUGAUCGUGACGGAGAAUCGCAUCAAUCGUCGAGUUGUCGUCCGUUCCGUGUACUUCGAAAAUUUCUCAUUUUUUUCUCCUUCGGUUUCGAGUUCGAAAUUCGACGCAGUUUUUUCGCUCGGAUCAAUUCGUCGUUAAAAAGAACAAAAUAUCCGUCGUGUCCGUGUACUUUUUUUAAUUCUACGACUACGUCCAUUCGCCAUUCCAUCGAGGUAGAAAUUGAGCGGAUGAUGUUGUUUUUGCAGCUGCAGAAAUUGAACGUGGAGAAACCAUAGUAACGCAGAUAAAUAAAUACGUAUGGGCUUACUUAAUACGCUGCAUCGAUUCUACUGCAACAAACUGAUGAAAUCUAAAAUAUUAGAAUCGCAUUUUGGAUAUUCUUCGAAACAGUUGUAUCCAUCGAAUCCUAAUUUUUCAGCUCGAUAAUAAUUUUCAGGUUCAGCUGCGUGUCUAAUUCUCAUCAAGGUGUUAAUUAAGUACAAGACAAGCUCGUUUUAGAUAACGGGAUUUAGCUUAGAUGUUGAAAAUCUCUGGCAAACAAUCACAACAAACCAAGACAUUAACGCAAAAAAAUGAUCAGCUGGCUUUGAAAAAUACUGUAGAUCCAUUUUUGGAAUGGUAUAAUUCAAGAUUCGAAAAUUGCCUGAAUGAAAUAAAAAAAUACCCAGAUCACGCCGCACUAAUUGAAGAGUAUUUCAACGACGAUGGUGGUUUUGAAGUGAACGAGGAAACUUUAUACAACAUUCUGUCUGCUGAAUUACAAGGAGGUUCAAAAGUGCAAUCAAUUCAUACGUAUCGUACAUUACCAACUAUCCCUCAAAGUGUAGCCAAUGCCACAAACUUACACAAGAAAACUUACUCUCAUCAAGUGAAUCAAAACCUCAAGUCUUUGACUUCGAAUACGCAAAAUGGACCAAGUGGUUUAUACAAGCAUAAGAAUUACCAACUUGUACCACCCGAUUUCGUGGAAACUCUAGAUUUAUGCAAGAGUAUGGGACAUCUCAGAAUUAUCGAUCAGUAUUUCAAGUCCAUUGAAAACCACAAGAGUUGAAAUAGGUACCUAGACUCAUUAUCUGGAAACUUUUUGUGAUGUGCCUGCAAUCCUUCUCACGAGAUGUUUUUUUUCAACCCCCUCCCCCUCAACUUUCAUGAAAAAAUAUUCAACAUUACCUACCUUUUUUUUUUCAACGAACAAUCAUUGUAAAGUACUUACCUGCUAUUCGUAAUUUUGAACCCUUUGCUGAAAAUUCUUCAAAAAUGCUCUCGAAAAUAUUCUUGCCAAAAUAAUUGAAUUUUUUGCAAAAUUUUAACUUAUUUUUUAAAAAAAUACGACAGAAAAAUCGAAAAAUCAUAGUCAAAAAGUUCCUAUUUCUGUUAUCCAAGUGCGCAGUGUAGCCAUUCUUGACACAAAAAAAAUACUAUAGAAAACAACUUUCUACUUGUCCCUUUCUUUCAGAUGUUCAGAAUAAUAUUCAAUUUACGAAGAUACAUUAAAGUUGCCAUUUUUAAAUCUGUCAGAAAAGCAUUUCUUUUUCAUCAUCACAAAUAAUCGACAGAAGCUUAUGGUGUGAAUUAGAAGGGAAUGAAACACAAAAGAAAUACAUAACUAAACAAACUUUUAUAUCCUUUAUUGGCGUGUAAAUUAAAGUGAAAACAUAUUUAUAAAAUAGCAACAAAAAUCAUAGAAAAAUCAGUACAAGUGAUUAUUUGAUUACAAAUUUAAAAAAAUAUCAGUUUACGCCUGUGGUACUAUUUUCACAGUCAAGAAAAAUGCACAAUUUUGGUGUCAUGCUUUGCCUCAACAUUCUGGCAAGAGAGUCAGCUUGUUCCACAUUGUAGAGAAAGUCUUGAGAAUGGAAUAUUAUAAGUAAACAUACUGACUUAUUCGCACAUUUUUGGUUCACUUUUUUCCAUCAUUUUUCAAUACUCAAGUUGAUUUUUUUUUUAAAAGAAUAACUCGAUCAUUUUCAACUUGAUUUUCACAUCAUUUCAAGUGUCACAAGUGUCAUCAAAAUAAUGUUAGAACCUGAAAGCACUUGAAUUUAUCUAUCAAGUUGUAGAUCAUGUGAAACAUUCUUUUAUACAUAUAAAUGCAUUAUGAAGGAAUCUGAAGUGUUUCCAACUUUCUCCAUGAACAUUUACAAGCAAAAUGGAGGAGAUGAUUCCUGAAUUGAAAAUUACUAGGUACCUAUUCGUAGUUCAAAAUCUUACCUUCUUUUGCAUGUUUUCCAUCAUUUUUUUUGUUUGCCAAACUUUCCAUAACAUAUUAUUCAUUGGUCAUGGUCAAUAUUUGAAAUGCUCAUAAAUGGAGACAAGUUCGAUACCCGUUCUCAUUUAUUCAGCCGCUCUAACUCCUUCCCAUUGAUUCAAUUUCAAUCAUAGAUUGUAUGAGAAAUGUUAUGAUAGGUCUCCUGAAGGAGAUAAACCAGAAAAUUGGUAGGCUCAAGUACCUCUAGAACCAUGGAUAUUCAGAUGAUUCUAAAUAAAAUCUCAUAUUUUCUUUGUUCAUGAACACCAAUUAUUGAUCAGAACACACCGACUAAAUUGCUAGAGUACCUACCGAACAUUAAGUCAGAUCAGAGAGCGCUGCUUCAGAACAUUUCGCCUCAAAUUACUCAUUUCCACAUUCAUAAGGUGUACAUGAUAAUGAUUAUAGAUAAAUUCUAGAUGAAUAAAUAACUACAGUGAUUAAAUAUAAAUACUAUGAGAGUUUGGUGAUGAUCUCGCCGAAAAUGGUGUAGUUUAGGAACAUCAACGAUGAAAACGUGAAAGACUCCGGUACACAUGAGAUAAAAAUAUAAAUUUGAGAUCCUGGUCACCAAUCACGUUGUAGUAGAAUCAGCAUUAGUGGUAUUACGUUUCGUUACAGGAGGAGAUGUUUCAAUAGGAUUUUGAGCACUGUCAUCGAUGAUGGGUUCUUCGUAUUGGGUAGUUCUACAAAAAUACAUAAAAACGCAAGAUUAGAUGUACUCGCACGAAAAUAAUAUCAAUCUAAGAUAGGUUAGCCCAUUUAAUUCAUAAUAAGCAAAUUCAAAUCAAGCGAAUUACAUAUACAGCUGUAAACACGCGUAUAAUAAGAUUAUAGAGGUGCUUUUUGGAUUAAUACACGAAAUGGAAAUAAAACUAUAUGUAAAAA